GACGAACGCUGGCGGCGCGCCUUACGCAUGCAAGUCGCACGGACCUUCGGGUUAGUGGCAGACGGCUGAGUAACGCGUAGGUAACCUAUCCAGUAGUGGGGGAUAACCCUUCGAAAGAAGGGCUAAUACCGCAUGAGUUCCCGGGUUGAAAGUGCCCGGGAGGAAAGCCUUCGGGCGCUACCGGAGGGGCCUGCGUCCUAUCAGGUAGUUGGUGAGGUAACGGCCCACCAAGCCUGUGACGGGCAGCUGGUCUGAGAGGAUGAUCAGCCACACUGGGACUGAGACACGGCCCAGACUCCUACGGGAGGCAGCAGUGGGGAAUAUUGGACAAUGGGGGCAACCCUGAUCCAGCCAUGCCGCGUGAGUGAUGAAGGCCUUAGGGUUGUAAAGCUCUUUUACCCGGGACGAUAAUGACUGUACCGGGAGAAUAAGCCCCGGCUAACUUCGUGCCAGCAGCCGCGGUAA
Molecule: ribosomal RNA, 465 nt
Filed under: uncultured bacterium
Lineage: Bacteria
Description: partial 16S ribosomal RNA
Rfam family: Bacterial small subunit ribosomal RNA
Source: RNAcentral